Molecule: unclassified non-coding RNA, 412 nt
Filed under: Hevea brasiliensis (rubber tree)
Lineage: Eukaryota; Viridiplantae; Streptophyta; Magnoliopsida; Malpighiales; Euphorbiaceae
Source: RNAcentral
CAGCCGUGGCCGUCGUAGACGCCAAAAUAAUGCAAUUCAAUGGUGGAUUCUUCGUCUUUGCGACAGAAAGAUGGGUAAAUUGCCACUGCGUCUUCCAUAUCUCUUCUCCUUCCACAGACUGAAGCGACCCCGAAUUUUGGAAAGAAGUCUGGAUCUAUGGCAGGGGGUGAAAAAUCAGACUCAAAGACUUGUUCGAAAUUACAAUUUCUUUAGUCUCCGAUUUUCUAUUUUCAACCUUGAGAGCGACUCUUUCAUCUUGGUGUUUCACAACAGAGUCCUCGCAGUCGUCUCCGCCAGAAGCAUGCAAUGACGCCGUGUGAAUUUCUAUUUUCUGGCGUUUAUUACUUUCCUCCGUCUCGGGCGAGGUCGGGGCAGCACCUGUCACGAAUUUGAACCGUCUGAUCUCCAUUCU